This 312-nucleotide unclassified non-coding RNA is filed under the name Hevea brasiliensis (rubber tree). Lineage: Eukaryota; Viridiplantae; Streptophyta; Magnoliopsida; Malpighiales; Euphorbiaceae. The record is from RNAcentral.
GUCCUUCACCUUUGUGAUGGCCUCAUCACGCAACUGACUCUUCGCCUCGCCUGCGCUUCCCCAUCACACAAUCGACUUCCUCGCCUAAGCUAUUUUCAAGAUUGUUUUGAGUGUUGUAUUAUAUAUAUACAGGUAUUUUAGAUUCGUUGAUUUGUAUUGUAAUCACCUAAAUUUGCAAAUGUGUGUUGUGUUGUUUAUUGCAGAUUUGUUAUAUUUUUUAGGUAAAAAUGUGUUUGAGUUAAUUGAGAAUUUUAUUUUGAGUUGUCUAUCUUUUGGUGAUUUUUAGUUUGUGAUGGUGAAUUUAAGAUUUGC